This 443-nucleotide ribosomal RNA is filed under the name uncultured bacterium. RNAcentral's name for it is "partial 16S ribosomal RNA". It matches the Rfam family "Bacterial small subunit ribosomal RNA", at positions 338 to 795 of the family's 1533-position model. The record is from RNAcentral.
CCUACGGGUGGCAGCAGUGGGGAAUAUUGGGCAAUGGGCGCAAGCCUGACCCAGCAACGCCGCGUGAAGGAAGAAGGCUUUCGGGUUGUAAACUUCUUUUCUCAGGGACGAAGGAAGUGACGGUACCUGAGUAGUAAGCCGCGGCUAACUACAGACCAGCAGCCGCGGUAAUACGUAGGAGGCAAGCGUUAUCCGGAGUGACUGCGUGUAAAGGGCGGGUAGGCGGGACUGUAAGUCAGAUGUGAAAGCCACGGGCUCAACCUGUGGACUGCAUUUCAUACUGUUGUGCUUGAGUACUGGAGAGACAGACAGAAUUCCACGUGUAGCGGUGAAAUGCGUAGAUAUGAGGAGGAACACCAGAGGCGAAGGCGGUCUGUUGGACAGGAACUGACGCUCAGGUGCGAAAGCGUGGGGAGCAAACAGGAUUAGAUACCCUAGUAGUC